This 489-nucleotide ribosomal RNA is filed under the name uncultured bacterium. Its description in RNAcentral is "partial 16S ribosomal RNA". It matches the Rfam family "Bacterial small subunit ribosomal RNA", at positions 28 to 507 of the family's 1533-position model. The record is from RNAcentral.
GAUGAACGCUAGCGGCAGGCUUAAUACAUGCAAGUCGUGGGGCAGCAGGACUUUAGCAAUACAGUUGCUGGCGACCGGCAAACGGGUGCGGCACACGUACGCAACGUACCCUGAACGGGGGGAUAGCCCGGGGAAACCCGGAUUAAUACCCCGUAAUAUAAUGGAGUGGCAUCACUGUAUUAUUAAAGCUCCUGCGGUUCGGGAUGGGCGUGCGGCUGUUUAGGUAGUUGGUUGAGGUAACGGCUCACCAAGCCUACGAUCAGUACCUGGUGUGAGAGCACGACCAGUUAGACGGGCACUGAGACACGGGCCCGACUCGUACGGGCGGCAGCAGUAAGGAAUAUUGGGACAUGGAGGCAACUCUGACCCAGCCAUGCCGCGUGGAGGAUGAAGGCCCUCUGGGUUGUAAACUUCUUUGAAAGGGGACGAAACCUGUGUAUUCUUACGCAGUUGACGGUACCCUAGGAAUAAGCACCGGCUAACUCCGUG